Felis catus (domestic cat) is the source of this 85-nucleotide transfer RNA. It matches the Rfam family "tRNA". Rfam says of the family: Transfer RNA (tRNA) molecules are approximately 80 nucleotides in length. Their secondary structure includes four short double-helical elements and three loops (D, anti-codon, and T loops). The record is from Rfam. Lineage: Eukaryota; Metazoa; Chordata; Mammalia; Carnivora; Felidae.
GCCUGGGUGGCUCAGUCGGUUGAGCGUCUGACUUCAGCUCAGGUCACGAUCUCGCGGUCCGUGGGUUCGAGCCCCGCGUCGGGCU